CAAUCAGUACUAGUAUUCCUGUGUGGGCUGUAACACGUUCUUUGCUUCUGUGCUGUCUUGUGUCAGGCAAUACGCCUGUGUUUUUCUAGUAGAAGUCGUAACCGCUCCCGAAGACAGGAUAUUAUACCAUGAAAUUGCAAUAUGGCCAUGUCCACCCCCCCUCUCCUCUUCCUCCUCCUCCUCCUCCUCCUCCUCCUCCGUUGACUUUCCAAUCAUCUCUCCUCACAACAAGGGCCAGGACAAGACAAAAGUGAAACUAAUUGGAUUUCUUUGGGGUUGGUUACGCCAAUAAACGGGGCCGCACCACACCACACCAAUCGCUGCGCUUAGCGGGUGACAUGAAGAACUACUCUCUGUCCAAUAGGUGGUUAGUAGUUGUACGGGAGCAGGAAUAUUACAACCUAUGUGCAAAUAAUGGGUGUAACCCAUAUGGCUAUCUUUGUGUUUGAAGACAUGAUUUUCAUUCUGAAGUAGGAAUUUUCAUAACUAAAUAUUAUAUGCUCAGAGUAGGAGAUUUAGAAAAAAGAU
Molecule: small RNA, 528 nt
Filed under: Histoplasma ohiense
Lineage: Eukaryota; Fungi; Ascomycota; Eurotiomycetes; Onygenales; Ajellomycetaceae
Description: hypothetical lncRNA
Source: RNAcentral